CCUACGUGUGGCAGCAGUGGGGAAUAUUGCACAAUGGGGGAAACCCUGAUGCAGCGACGCCGCGUGAGUGAAGAAGUAAUUCGGUAUGUAAAGCCCUAUCAGCAGGGAAGAAAAUGACGGUACCUGAGUAAGAAGCGCCGGCUAACUACGUGCCAGCAGCCGCGGUAAUACGUAGGGGGCAAGCGUUAUCCGGAUUUACUGGGUGUAAAGGGAGCGUAGAUGGGGGUGCAAGGCUGGAGUGAAAGGCGGGGGCGCAACCCCCGGACUGCACUGGAAACUGUACGGCUGGAGUGCAGGAGAGGUAAGUGGAAUUCCUAGUGUAGCGGUGAAAUGCGUAGAUAUUAGGAGGAACACCAGUGGCGAAGGCGGCUUACUGGACUGUAACUGACGUUGAGGCUCGAAAGCGUGGGGAGCAAACAGGAUUAGAUACCCUUGUAGUC
Molecule: ribosomal RNA, 440 nt
Filed under: uncultured bacterium
Lineage: Bacteria
Description: partial 16S ribosomal RNA
Rfam family: Bacterial small subunit ribosomal RNA
Source: RNAcentral